This is a long non-coding RNA of Piliocolobus tephrosceles (Ugandan red Colobus), 1091 nucleotides long. NCBI's taxonomy places the organism in Eukaryota, Metazoa, Chordata, Mammalia, Primates, Cercopithecidae. The record is from Ensembl.
AAGAAAAAUUUCAACAUUUACAUUAUAUAUUCAAACUUUCAGUUCAGUCAUUAGCUGGAGAGGGGGAAGUGAAAGGGAAAGUUUUAGUUGGCUUUGUGUUGGUUGCCAGGAAACAUAUAAAGGGAAGAGAACAGAUGAAACAAACAACUCCUCAUUGCUGGGAAGGUGGCCUUCAGAGUCAAGUACUUCAUUGGUAGGGAAACUUGGCAGCUUUGUCAUCUAACUCUUCCAGACAAGAAAGUGGAGUUGAAAACUACAACAUGUUAAUGGAAGCAAGGCACCUGUUGAAGGAAAAAAAAGAUCCAACCAUAUAGAAACAGUUGAAGGUAGCUGAGAAAAUGUGAAGCCAUUAUGAGUUGCCAGAAAGCUGCACUUGAGUUAAACACAGGGUCACAGCCUGGGCCAAAGAGCCCUGAGAGAACAGAAGAUGUAACUGCAUUUGAAGACUAUGGCACAGGCCUGCUUGAAAACCAACUCAGCGUGUGUGACUUUGCAAAAAUACAGAAGGCCUUUGAGGCCGCGCUGCACCCCGUGGUUCCUGAGCCCUGGGCUGAAGUACGCCCUGCUGCCUCGCCGGUGCCGCUUUUGCUGUGCAACGAGAGCUCCUGCCCUGGGAAACUUCCUGGCGCCUGACGCGCACCACAGGCUGCAGCAAGACCUGUCGGAAGCGUGGGCUGGGAGGAGCCCGCCAUGGCCCUGUCCUCUCCAGGCUAGGAGCGACUUUGUGGGGUUUGUCGGCCCUUCUCUCAGGUGUCCUGGGUCUCAUGGAUCAGCCGGCGAGCCCUGUCAGAUGCCUCUCUCCUGUCUGGAGGAGCACUCUCCAAAACGCUGCCUGCCACCCGGGUCUUCUGGCGCAGAGUGAGGCCACAUCUGCAGCCCUUACCGCACGGAGUCCCAAGGCAUUCGGGGUGAUCAGCAUGACACAUCAAGAGGAGCCCCGUGGCUGACCCUGGAGGUGGACGGUCGGGUCGGAUUGGCCGCCCUCCAGCACGUGUUUCGAGUGAUGCCUUCCCUGGGUUACGCAGCCCUGAUCUGUAGCACACAACUUCCCAGCUCCAGCCAAUCUGGUCUUGCCGUCUCCUUCCAAGAAG